This 468-nucleotide ribosomal RNA is filed under the name uncultured bacterium. RNAcentral describes it as "partial 16S ribosomal RNA". It matches the Rfam family "Bacterial small subunit ribosomal RNA", at positions 28 to 507 of the family's 1533-position model. The record is from RNAcentral.
GACGAACGCUGGCGGCGUGCUUAACACAUGCAAGUCGAACGGAAAGGCCCUGCUUUUGUGGGGUGCUCGAGUGGCGAACGGGUGAGUAACACGUGAGUAACCUGCCCUUGACUUUGGGAUAACUUCAGGAAACUGGGGCUAAUACCGGAUAGGAGCUCCUGCUGCAUGGUGGGGGUUGGAAAGUUUCGGCGGUUGGGGAUGGACUCGCGGCUUAUCAGCUUGUUGGUGGGGUAGUGGCUUACCAAGGCUUUGACGGGUAGCCGGCCUGAGAGGGUGACCGGCCACACUGGGACUGAGAGACGGCCCAGACUCCUACGGGAGGCAGCAGUGGGGAAUAUUGCACAAUGGGCGGAAGCCUGAUGCAGCAACGCCGCGUGCGGGAUGACGGCCUUCGGGUUGUAAACCGCUUUCGCCUGUGACGAAGCGUGAGUGACGGUAAUGGGUAAAGAAGCACCGGCUAACUACGUG